RNAcentral lists this ribosomal RNA (826 nucleotides) under uncultured bacterium. RNAcentral's name for it is "bacterial SSU rRNA". It matches the Rfam family "Bacterial small subunit ribosomal RNA", at positions 51 to 859 of the family's 1533-position model. The record is from RNAcentral.
ACACAUGCAAGUCGAACGAGAAAGGGCUUCGGCCCGAGUAAAGUGGCGCACGGGUGAGUAACGCGUGGGUAAUCUGCCUCCGGGCGGGGGAUAACAUUCCGAAAGGAGUGCUAAUACCGCAUGAGACCACGGCCUCGAGGGGUUGUGGGAAAAGAUGGGGAUCUUCGGACCUGUCACCUGGAGAUGAGCCCGCGUACCAUUAGGUAGUUGGUGGGGUAAAGGCCCACCAAGCCGAAGAUGGUUAGCUGGUCUGAGAGGAUGAUCAGCCACACUGGAACUGAGACACGGUCCAGACUCCUACGGGAGGCAGCAGUGGGGAAUAUUGCGCAAUGGGGGCAACCCUGACGCAGCAACGCCGCGUGUGUGAUGAAGGCCUUCGGGUCGUAAAGCACUGUGAGGUGGAACGAGCCGCCGGGGGUCAAUACCCUCCGGCCCGACGGUACCACCAGAGGAAGCACCGGCUAACCCUGUGCCAGCAGCCGCGGUAAUACAGGGGGUGCAAGCGUUGUUCGGAAUUAUUGGGCGUAAAGCGCGUGUAGGCGGACCACUAAGUCUGGUGUGAAAUCCCUCGGCUCAACUGAGGACGUGCAUUGGAUACUGGUGGCCUUGAGUCCUGGAGAGGGUAGCGGAAUUCCCAGUGUAGAGGUGAAAUUCGUAGAUAUUGGGAGGAACACCGGUGGCGAAAGGCGGCUACCUGGACAGUGACUGACGCUGAGACGCGAAAGCAUGGGUAGCAAACAGGAUUAGAUACCCUGGUAGUCCAUGCCGUAAACGAUGGGUGCUAGUUGGUGCGGGUAUUGACCCCUGCGCUGACGAAGCUAACGCG